AGAUUGAACGCUGGCGGCGUGGUUAAAGCAUGCAAGUCGAGCGAACCCGCAAGGGUGAGCGGCGAAAGGGUCAGUAAUACGAUCGAACGUACCCCGAGGUGAGGGAUAGCGGCGGGAAACUGCCGGUAAUACCUCAUGAUCUCUCCGGAGCAAAGGUUUACCGCCUUGGGAUCGGCGAUCGUCCUAUCAGCUAGUUGGCGGGGUAAAAGCCCACCAAGGCUAUGACGGGUAGCAGGUGUGAGAGCACGACCUGCGACAUCGAAACUGAGACACUGUUCGGACUCCUACGGGAGGCUGCAGCGACGAAUCUUCCGCAAUGGGCGCAAGCCUGGACGGAGCGACGCCGCGUGUGGGAUGAAGCGCCGUUCGGCGUGUAACCACUGUCGAGGAGACGGAACCGAAUGAUUCGUCUACGAAAGGAAGGGACGACUAACUCUGUGCCAGCGACGCCGC
RNAcentral lists this ribosomal RNA (453 nucleotides) under uncultured soil bacterium. Its description in RNAcentral is "bacterial SSU rRNA". It matches the Rfam family "Bacterial small subunit ribosomal RNA", at positions 26 to 518 of the family's 1533-position model. The record is from RNAcentral.